Molecule: long non-coding RNA, 3387 nt
Organism: Gallus gallus (chicken)
Lineage: Eukaryota; Metazoa; Chordata; Aves; Galliformes; Phasianidae
Exons: 4
Source: RefSeq, a predicted model, not a curated record
GGAAGUUGUAAAGACUUGCAGUGCAGAGGUUGCUUCUGUUUGCCUUGCUUGAGGGGGGGCAGUGUAAGGAAAAGGAGCUGCUGUAAAUGCUAGUUGUUUUCAUGCCUUUGAAAUCUGCUAAGUCAGCUUUCCUAAGAAGUGGGAGUGUAGUACUAGUGGUGCCAUUUCCUAUGUUUUAAACUAUGCAGCUGUAGAGCCUAGGAUGGGGAAUAUCUAACUCUCAGCUUUCUUCAGCCCAAGGUGGAAAUGUUCUCCCAUUUCCAAGACCAGCAGAGCACCCUGUAUCCUACAUGAGAGCACCCACCUCUUCUUUUCAAGCCAAGCCAUGAAAACAAAGGAGAACCGAGCAGCAGCCAGCAGAGACACCCCAAAGUGAUGCAGCCGUACCAGCAACGGGGAACUCAUCCCUGGUGAUACCAGGAGAAAUCCCAACUCAUCUCCAGGACACUGAAGCAGAGUGUAGGAGCCUGUAGUCCUCCACUGGGGUUGCUUUGGGAGAGGCUGACCCAGCUGGACUGCAGUGGUAGGGACUGCAGCAAAGAGCCUGAGCAACAUUCAAGGAAUGUGCUAUACAUGGACUCCUAAUGGAAUUAGAGUAUCUGCAUCCUGCCCACAUGGACUAAAGCAUUGGAUCGGGGCCUAUCAUUUACAGUGACGAUGCAGUCCUGUGAGGCAGACCACGUGGGACUCCCUGUUAAGACACAGUCAAGAGAUGACAUCAGUCUUUGUAGGAUCAUAGGAAAUAGCAUCACAGGUGAAGGCACAAAGUACUGAAGUUUCAGAAGAAAAAACAACACAGAAUCUUUGUAUCAAUCCAGUAAAAAAAAGCAACCCAAAAAACAACCUCACCACUUUGGGAAGGAUCUCCUCAAAAGGUAAAAAGUCACAUCAGUACUACAGGCCAGCAGCAGUCAGGAUUUAUCAGAAAAUUGGAAGAGAACAUUUCUGACACAGAAGUUGAGAUAACAAGAAAUGUACAGAGAAGGGUCUGCUUUGAUAACUGGAUUCACGGUGGUGCACUUUACCCACCCCACACGUCCCCCUGAGGCAGGCAGGCAGAUGUGCAGGAAAUCUGUGUUACUUAAACAGCCCAUGUGCAGCAAUGAGAAUUCAGUCAGCUGUUUGCUCAGAGGCCCUGAGACCCCAAAGGCUGCUUUUCCCCCUUUGCAGAGGGGGUACCUGUCUGCUCAGCUUCCUGACUGAAAGUUGUGCUGUAGCCGCAGCUAUAGAUAAAGGCUUGAAUAAUUGUAUUUGUCUGCUACACUGACACAAUAUUCCUUCAUCUAUUCUUGGUUGGCUUUGGGGCACCUCUGUAGCAUUUAUUCUCCAAGAAAAAUUAAAAAAAAAUAAUUAAAGACUAGAAAAUCUCAGUGUCCCCAUCAAACAUAAGGGAGAACAUGUACUUGCUACAACUUAAACCUUCGUGGUAAAUUGUGCUCUGAUCCAGUCAUUUCAUGCCCAAAGGGACCAUGCUAAUGCCACCGUCCUAUGCUGAUGGCCAACUCAAGAGCUACUUAACUUUGUUUAGACCUUAACAACCAGACACAAAAAUGGGUGAAGCUCUUCCCUGCAAUGGCUGUGUUUCCCCUCCAUAAAAGCAAGCAGAAGUUGGGCAGGUCUCAGGCUUUUUCUUUUUUCUUCAGUCUGUAGAGUUUUAAUGAAGUCACCAAAUUAUUGCGGGGAUAAAUCUUCCUCACAUACUUUGAAACUGAAAAAUAUUAUACUUCAUGGCAAAGAUUUUUUCUGACAGCUAAGUACUUCAUGAUUCACAUUUUGCUUUCAUCAAUCACAGUAAAAGUCAGGUAAGUCAAGUUAAUGCUGUGCCUGGUAAAUUUUUUCCACAAGGCUGUAAGGCUAACCGUUUCUACUACUGUACCUACAUGACUGCCACGGCCAACUACAAUUGGAUGGUCUAUACUAAGAAAAGUCAUAUUAAUUUUGCAUAUCCAUCCUGUUGUGCACUGGGGUGCGAUUCAAGCUGGCAUGGUUAUGAAGGCAGUAGGCACAAGACCCCUGCUGUUCAAAAGUCUGCAGAACAGUUCUGGCCCAGGACCCAGCUGUGCACUGUGUCACAACACCAGUAAUGUUCACCUUGGGGUAAGGCUUAGUGGAACUCAUUGGUUUUAAUUUGCAGCUCUGAGAAGUGUAGCCAUCUAUGUUUUAUAGAUUUUUCUUUUCCUAUGAGGGAUCUCAUCAACUUUGAUGUCUGUAACUAUUGAUUCUCUUUAUUAAGGGAUUGGUAAAGCAGAUUAACCACAAUAGCAUGUUAAUUAAGACCAUGUUUCAGCUUUCCAAAAUUACUCUCUUUCUGCAGAAAGCUGAUGAGUUGACUGGCAUCAGAGACUGUCCAAACCAAGGAGUCAGAUGGAAAGGACCACGAGGGAAAUUGGGCUGCAUACCCAAGAGAAGGCUUUGAAACAAUGCAAUCCCAUUUUCACAACGUCCAGCAUGGAGAUGUGAUGUCCAAAUCUCCAGUACCACUGUGCUUGCACAGGCAGAGCCUUGCCAGCUUUUCAGUCAGGCUGAGGCUGAAUUUGCCACAAGAGCAAGUCCUAGGAUGUGCAUUCAAGACGAGGAACAGGACCUUGUCCCACAGAGAACUUUUCCACCAAGCAAGCCCAGGGUGUCAGACUAGGAGCCUGUUUCUGUUUUCUGCAUUACAUUCAGCUCAAUCAAUCAUUCAAUGGCUUCCAUCCUUAUUUUUCCUCUGUCCUUUCCAGUCAGACUUUGUUCUCUUCAGACUGGUGGUGGGUUUGUGCCUGGUACAGAGGGUGCUCACCUGAGCCAGGGACAUGAUGGUUGCUGUCAUGCUAAUCAUAAUUUUCCUCAGAAAGGAAAUAGCAAAUGCCUUUGUGUCUUGUUCUCCUGCCCUUGUGCUCCCAGACCCCUGCUCUGAGGACAGGACACUUCCCCUCUGCCUCCUUUUGCUCUGAUUUGCCUUGCCUUCCCCAAGCCCUACUGCUAACUGCACUCUCACUGAUUAUUUUCUUUUCAGAGGCUGUAAACUUCAGUUCCUGCUCAGCUUGCAUUAGUGUCAGAGAAGUAUCUCUUGGCUGUUUACAGAAGAGAAAAUGGAAAGAUGAGCAUUAUUUCAUGUGAAAUAUGGUAGAGAGCCUAUGCUGAGUUUCUCUGUGAGGCCUGAGGCUCCAGCUACCUGAAGAAGCUGGUGAAAGCAUCCGUCAUCUGGUGAUUCAUCUCCCCCUGCCAUGGCUCUGGCCCUGCUCUGCGUGGGUGUCUCACAGCUCUCAUCAACUCUGGUUUUGAUGCAGACCAGGAGCUGCUGGGCUGUUCGCCCAAGUUUAUCUUGUAUGAAAGAGUUUGCUUGCUUUUCAAUUGUCUGGUGUUCUCCUGAAGAUGUAAAUUAAAAAAAAUAAAAAAAAAAAUAAA